UCUACCUUGAAACAGGAAGAUGGUCUUAA
RNAcentral lists this non-coding RNA (29 nucleotides) under Rattus norvegicus (Norway rat). Lineage: Eukaryota; Metazoa; Chordata; Mammalia; Rodentia; Muridae. The record is from RNAcentral.